RNAcentral lists this small nucleolar RNA (135 nucleotides) under Leptobrachium leishanense (Leishan spiny toad). Lineage: Eukaryota; Metazoa; Chordata; Amphibia; Anura; Megophryidae. The record is from RNAcentral.
AUGGCCCUGAAUCAAGGCUGGUGGCUUGUUGUAGCUAUUAGUUUCAAGCAGGAGCCCAGAUCAACCUCUUCCUGUGGUCUGUUGGCUGUGCAUAUUUUCGAUUUGACCCAGCCAAUUCAGUUGGAAGAAAUAUUU